This 460-nucleotide ribosomal RNA is filed under the name uncultured bacterium. Its description in RNAcentral is "partial 16S ribosomal RNA". It matches the Rfam family "Bacterial small subunit ribosomal RNA", at positions 338 to 795 of the family's 1533-position model. The record is from RNAcentral.
CCUACGGGAGGCAGCAGUGAGGAAUAUUGGUCAAUGGACGCAAGUCUGAACCAGCCAUGCCGCGUGCAGGAAGACGGCUCUAUGAGUUGUAAACUGCUUUUGUACGGAGGUAAACGCAGAUACGCGUAACUUUCUGAAAGUAUCGUACGAAUAAGGAUCGGCUAACUCCGUGCCAGCCGCCGCGGUAAUACGGAGGAGUCAAGCGUUAUCCGGAUUUAUUGGGUUUAACGGGUGCGUAGGCGGUCGGAUAAGUUAGAGGUGAAAUCCCGAGGCUCAACUUCGGAAUUGCCUCUGAUACUGGUCGGCUAGAGAGUAGUUGAGGGAGGCGGAAUGUAGGGUGUAGCGGUGAAAUGCUUAGAGAUCAUACAGAACACCGAUUGCGAAGGCAGCUUACCAAGCUACUUCUGACGUUGAGGCACGAAAGCGUGGGGAGCAAACAGGAUCAGAUACCCCGGUAGUC